AUAAGUGCUCGUCCAUCUUUUUAUAUACGCUAUUAGUGCUGGUUGAUAGAAAUUGACGAAAUGCAAAAUGACAGGCCAUGAUGAAAGAUCCAUUUGCAAAUUAUGUUGUACAGAAGGUUCUAGAAACGUGUGAUGAUCAGAGCCGUGAGUUGAUCUUGUCUCGCAUCAAGGUCCAUUUGAAUGCGCUGAAGAGAUACACUUACGGUAAACAUAUUGUUGCACGUGUUGAAAAGCUCAUCACAGCUGGAGAAAGGCGCAUAGGGAUUUCAUCUUCAUAUUCUUCUUGAGGAGUCCUUUUGGGCAGUAAAAGGGCAGGCAUCCUUGUACAGCUAACAAGGCAGGUCAUCUUAGCGUAUCAUCCCAAGUCUUUAUUUUCUUCCGAGAAUGUGUCGGAAACCACCAGAGUUAUUAGAGUUUAGUGGUAGAAGAGUAUAAAUGAGCUUAUAAUGGUUGUAAAUAAAGGGAAAAAAAAUAUAGGCUCACUGUAAUAAGAUUUUGGUUCUCUCCCCAACCCUCCCAAACAUGUAUAUUCGGCACAUUAUUGUAAUUUGAUGACGAAGAGAACAUCUAUGAGGAGGUCAUACGUAGGUUGUUUAGGCAAUCGAGGUUAGAGGCAGAAUGAUCCUUGGGAGACAAAUGUACAAUGUCCACAAGAAUCUGUAAAGAAAUUUGCUUGGGUGUAAUCGUUAAUGGAACUGUAAAGAAAGAAAGGGAACAGUGUAUCUAUGAGGAGGGUCAGCUGUCAGGUCCUUAGUCUUUUCGACUGUGGGAGAUUUUAUCAAUAAAUAUUCUCACCUCUUCCU
Telopea speciosissima is the source of this 803-nucleotide long non-coding RNA. RefSeq lists it as uncharacterized. Lineage: Eukaryota; Viridiplantae; Streptophyta; Magnoliopsida; Proteales; Proteaceae. The record is from RefSeq and is a predicted model, not a curated record. The transcript has 2 exons.